Molecule: long non-coding RNA, 864 nt
Organism: Gallus gallus (chicken)
Lineage: Eukaryota; Metazoa; Chordata; Aves; Galliformes; Phasianidae
Exons: 4
Source: RefSeq, a predicted model, not a curated record
GACGUCAUCACCAUGCGACCCGAGGAGCCGGCCGUGCGGCAGCGGGGCGGGGCGGCCCCGGGGCUCCGAGCGCCGCCUCAGCUUCUGCGAAAUCAUGAAGAAGGAUCUGGAGACGUCCUAGAGAGGUCUGGGGGCAUCCAGGGGGUUCUGGACUCAUCCAGAAGAGUCUGGAGAUGUCCAAGGAGGAUCCAGGGAGUCCCCAGGUGCAGCUCCUUCCCCUCCCCGGCCUCUCAUUGGCUGACGCGCAGCCCAGUCCCGCCCCCGGCCUCUCAACCGGUCAGCGGCAGCGCCGCCGGCCUUCCAUUGGCUGAGGCGCAGCGCGCGGGGGCAGCCGUUGGCAGCCGGCUCGGAGCCGCCCGGCUCUCCGUUCAGCCGGCGCCGCUCCGCAGUCCGGGCCGCCCCGCACGGCACCGCCGACGGAACGGCACCGGGACGGAACCGCGGCACGACGGGAGCGGUGCUGAGCUCUGCGGUACCGCGGGGUGGGUCGUGUGGUGUUGUGGGGAAGCACUGCAGAUGGAAAGCUGCUGUGUGGAGCCCCACAGGAUGAGUUGCAGAGGCCCCUGAAGGAAAAGGAGAAGGAAGGGCAUUUGCAGAGGGAAAGGCUGUCCCGCUGGCCUUUGGUGUUGCUGAACUGGGAGGGGUGGCCAAUGCUUUCUCUUUCCGCUGACUCACGGAUGGUGGCAAAUGCCUUCUGGGGGUGGUUCCAGCAGUGGGAAGAAAACAACUGGCAGCGGAGGGGUAAACCUCUUUGGGCUGCUGAGCUGUGUGCUGAACCAUAAGGAAGGUGGCUGUAAAGGUGUGCCGUGCAGAUGUCGUGUGCCCAGCAGUCGGGCCUAUGAAGAGCAACAAAUGAAGCACCAG